RNAcentral lists this ribosomal RNA (253 nucleotides) under uncultured bacterium. RNAcentral's name for it is "partial 16S ribosomal RNA". It matches the Rfam family "Bacterial small subunit ribosomal RNA", at positions 524 to 776 of the family's 1533-position model. The record is from RNAcentral.
UACGGGGGGGGCAAGCGUUGUUCGGAAUUACUGGGCGUAAAGGGCUCGUAGGUGGCCAACUAAGUCAGACGUGAAAUCCCUCGGCCUAACCGGGGAACUGCGUCUGAUACUGGAUGGCUUGAGUUCGGGAGAGGGAUGCGGAAUUCCAGGUGUAGCGGUGAAAUGCGUAGAUAUCUGGAGGAACACCGGUGGCGAAGGCGGCAUCCUGGACCGAUACUGACGCUGAGGAGCGAAAGCCAGGGGAGCGAACGGG